UACGUAGGGUGCGAGCGUUGUCCGGAAUUACUGGGCGUAAAGGGCGCGUAGGCGGCCUGCUAAGUCGGAUGUGAAAUCCCUCGGCUCAACCGAGGAACUGCAUCCGAUACUGGCGGGCUUGAAUCCGGGAGAGGGAUGUGGAAUUCCAGGUGUAGCGGUGAAAUGCGUAGAUAUCUGGAGGAACACCGGUGGCGAAGGCGGCAUCCUGGACCGGUAUUGACGCUGAGGCGCGAAAGCUAGGGGAGCAAACGGG
Molecule: ribosomal RNA, 253 nt
Filed under: uncultured bacterium
Lineage: Bacteria
Description: partial 16S ribosomal RNA
Rfam family: Bacterial small subunit ribosomal RNA
Source: RNAcentral